CCGCGGUAAAACCAGCUCCCCGAGGGGUUCCCACGCAUACUGGGCCUAAAGCGUCCGUAGCCGGCCCUGUAAGUCUGCAGUUAAAUCCGCCUGUAGACAGGCGGGUUGCUGCAGAUACUGCAGGGCUAGGGAGCGGGAGGAGCCGGGGGUAUUCCCGGGGGAGCGGUAAAAUGCGUAGAUCCCGGGAGGACCACCAGUGGCGAAGGCGCCCGGCUUGAACGCGUCCGACGGUGAGGGACGAAAGCUGGGGGAGCAAACCGGAUUAGAUACCCGGGUAGUCCCAGCCGUAAACGAUGCCGGCUAGGUGCUGGCCAAGGUUUCGGCCUUGGCCAGUGUCGAAGCGAAGGCAUUAAGCCGGCCGCCUGAGGAGUACGGCCGCAAGGCUGAAACUUGAAGGAAUUGACGGGGGGGCACCACAAGGGGUGAAUGCCUGCGGCUUAAUUGGACUCAACGCCGGGAAUCUUACCGGGGGCGACAGCAGGAUGAAGGUCAGGCUGAAGACCUUACCAGACGCGCUGAGGGGUGGUGCAUGGCCGUCGCCAGCUCGUGCCGUGAGGUGUCCUGUUAAGUCAGGCGACGAGCGAGACCCCCGCCCCUAGUUGCCAGCGGCCUCCUUCGGGAGGGACCGGGCAAACUAGGGGGACCGCCUCCGAAGAGGAGGAGGAAGGUGGGGGCUACGGCAGGUCAGUAUGCCCCUAAUCCCCCGGGCCACACGCGGGCU
This 721-nucleotide ribosomal RNA is filed under the name uncultured korarchaeote. RNAcentral's name for it is "bacterial SSU rRNA". It matches the Rfam family "Archaeal small subunit ribosomal RNA", at positions 465 to 1182 of the family's 1478-position model. Lineage: Archaea; Thermoproteati; Thermoproteota. The record is from RNAcentral.